Non-coding RNA from Hordeum vulgare subsp. vulgare (domesticated barley), 125 nucleotides. The record is from Rfam. NCBI's taxonomy places the organism in Eukaryota, Viridiplantae, Streptophyta, Magnoliopsida, Poales, Poaceae.
UUACUACUCCCUUCGUUCGAAAUUACUUGUCGCACAAAGAUAUAAAAAUGGAUGUAUCUAGAACUAACAUACAUCUAGAUACAUCCAUUCAUAUGACAAGUAUUUCCGGACGGAGUGAGUAGUAA